CCCUUAGAUGUUCUGGGCCGCACGCGCGCUACACUGAUGCAUUCAACGAGUCUAAAACCUGCUCUGAUAGGGGUGGGUAAUCUUUUGAAUGUGCAUCGUGAUUGGGAUAGAUGAUUGCAAUUUUUCAUCUUCAACGAGGAAUGCCUAGUAAACGCAAGUCAUCAGCUUGCAUUGAUUACGUCCCUGCCCUUUGUACACACAGCCCGUCGCUCCUACCGAUUGAAUGAUCCGAUGAAUAUCAUGGAUUGAGGAUGCAAGCAGGUUCGCCUGUCUUCAUCUUCGAGAAGUGAAGUAAAUCUUAUCAUUUAGAGGAAGGAGAAGUCGUAACA
This 329-nucleotide ribosomal RNA is filed under the name uncultured eukaryote. RNAcentral describes it as "partial 18S ribosomal RNA". It matches the Rfam family "Eukaryotic small subunit ribosomal RNA", at positions 1470 to 1796 of the family's 1831-position model. The record is from RNAcentral.